This 450-nucleotide ribosomal RNA is filed under the name uncultured Glomeromycotina. Its description in RNAcentral is "SSU rRNA". It matches the Rfam family "Eukaryotic small subunit ribosomal RNA", at positions 569 to 1024 of the family's 1831-position model. Lineage: Eukaryota; Fungi; Glomeromycota. The record is from RNAcentral.
AGCAGCCGCGGUAAUUCCAGCUCCAAUAGCGUAUAUUAAAGUUGUUGCAGUUAAAAAGCUCGUAGUUGAAUUUCGGGGUCAAUAGGUUGGUCGUGCCAAUGGUAUGUACUGGCUUUAUUGAUUCCUACCUCUUGACGAACUGUGAUGCCAUUAAUUUGGUGUUGCAGGAAAUCAGGACUGUUACCUUGAAAAAUUAGAGUGUUUAAAGCAGGCUUACGCUUGAAUACAUUAGCAUGGAAUAAUGAAAUAGGACGUUUGAACCUAUUUUGUUGGUUUCUAGGAUCGACGUAAUGAUUAAUAGGGAUAGUUGGGGGCAUUAGUAUUCAAUUGUCAGAGGUGAAAUUCUUGGAUUUAUUGAAGACUAACUACUGCGAAAGCAUUUGCCAAGGAUGUUUUCAUUAAUCAAGAACGAAAGUUAGGGGAUCAAAGACGAUCAGAUACCGUCGUAGU